CCUAUGGGGGGCAGCAGUGGGGAAUAUUGGACAAUGGGGGGAACCCUGAUCCAGCCAUGCCGCGUGUGUGAAGAAGGCCCUCGGGUUGUAAAGCACUUUCAGUGAGGAAGAACGCCUGGUGGUUAAUACCCAUCAGGAAAGACAUCACUCACAGAAGAAGCACCGGCUAACUCCGUGCCAGCAGCCGCGGUAAUACGGAGGGUGCGAGCGUUAAUCGGAAUUACUGGGCGUAAAGCGCGCGUAGGUGGCUUGAUAAGCCGGUUGUGAAAGCCCCGGGCUCAACCUGGGAACGGCAUCCGGAACUGUCAAGCUAGAGUGCAGGAGAGGAAGGUAGAAUUCCCGGUGUAGCGGUGAAAUGCGUAGAGAUCGGGAGGAAUACCAGUGGCGAAGGCGGCCUUCUGGACUGACACUGACACUGAGGUGCGAAAGCGUGGGUAGCAAACAGGAUUAGAUACCCUAGUAGUC
This 465-nucleotide ribosomal RNA is filed under the name Vreelandella stevensii. Its description in RNAcentral is "partial 16S ribosomal RNA". It matches the Rfam family "Bacterial small subunit ribosomal RNA", at positions 338 to 795 of the family's 1533-position model. Lineage: Bacteria; Pseudomonadati; Pseudomonadota; Gammaproteobacteria; Oceanospirillales; Halomonadaceae. The record is from RNAcentral.